GCGGGUGAGUAACACGUAUCCAACCUGCCGUCUACUCUUGGACAGCCUUCUGAAAGGAAGAUUAAUACAAGAUGGCAUCAUGAGUCCGCAUGUUCACAUGAUUAAAGGUAUUCCGGUAGACGAUGGGGAUGCGUUCCAUUAGAUAGUAGGCGGGGUAACGGCCCACCUAGUCUUCGAUGGAUAGGGGUUCUGAGAGGAAGGUCCCCCACAUUGGAACUGAGACACGGUCCAAACUCCUACGGGAGGCAGCAGUGAGGAAUAUUGGUCAAUGGGCGCUAGCCUGAACCAGCCAAGUAGCGUGAAGGAUGAAGGCUCUAUGGGUCGUAAACUUCUUUUAUAUAAGAAUAAAGUGCAGUAUGUAUACUGUUUUGUAUGUAUUAUAUGAAUAAGGAUCGGCUAACUCCGUGCCAGCAGCCGCGGUAAUAC
Molecule: ribosomal RNA, 426 nt
Filed under: uncultured bacterium
Lineage: Bacteria
Description: bacterial SSU rRNA
Rfam family: Bacterial small subunit ribosomal RNA
Source: RNAcentral